UAAGCUUCAGUGGCGCUGGAAGGACAAACAUGCCAUCAUCCCCACCUCCCUGGUGACUGGACAAAGUUACUUUGUGCCGAGAAUUCGUCACCUUCCUUUCCUUUUUGAGGACUACUUACAAAUAAGUUUUUGACUUGAUGUAAGCUGAAGGUGCUGCCCAUCAGUUUCUCCCAACGAUCAUUCACUGGAUUUUAUACAACAUCCACCUUUGGAAUUUGACUGAACUUGCUGUUUUGCGUGGCACGGUUCAAGGCGGUCAUUUUGGUUGCACAGGAAAUUUCUAAACCGCAUGGAAUAAAAUUAGCAACCUAGUUCUAGCAGGGCCGAUGUUUCUGAAACCCAUUUCAUUUCUCCUGUCUUCUAAGUAGUACAUUUUAUUUGGUUAUAUAGCUUAUAGCACAUAUAAUCUGCAUAAAGGAGGCAAUGACCUGCUUCUUAAUUCACAAGGCAUUGUGUUUACUUGAAAUUUGGUGUGGUUACUAUAUAUCAGUCUUUCUUGUGCUGGAAUGUGAAAAGUAGCUCUCUAUUCAAAACGACGCUGGCCUAUUGAAGCACAUGCUGCUGAAAAGUAGACUUGGAGUUAGCUCUACUAGGAGGGGGUAUGUUCGAAUGGUGUCCAAUACUUCUGUAGUCAUGGUCAGGUUGGUGUUUGUCUAGAUGGUUGCCAAUAUUUCGGUCUGCCAAUGACAAUUUGGCAACUCAACCUCAUUUUUCUAGCCAAUGUUAGUCAAGCUACGGGUAAAUAAAAGCCUGACCAAAAUAUUGGCUAGCCAAAUACAGUAUUUAGUAGGGCUAACUUGGGCUCAAACUAAGCACCCUUGUGAGAUGAGGAGAUGAACGCCCUGAGUGGGUUAGCCAAAUAUUAACUUGGCUAUGGUAGUUCGUUGAACUUGCCUUCUUGAUGCUUCUUUGUGUCUCCACAAGAUCACCGGCCUCCUUGAUGCUUGUUUGCGUCUCCACAAGAUCACCGACCUCCUCAACUCGGGAUCAUCCUCCCUCUCAUUAUCUUCCUCGCAUGACCAUCAACCAUGGACAUCUUUAUGUUAUCGAGGCCAAGUAUGUGCGAUUCAUCCAACUGAUACAUGGAGCUUUUACUCCUUCGAGGCAGGAAGAGGAGGCAUCACGGGUGGGAGAGAGAGGAGGGAAUAGUUUGCUAAGAAGUGGUGGCGGAUGCUCAAAAUUGAGAGUGGGGGAGAUUUUUUGGCUUACCUUUUACUCCCUCCGUUCCAAAUUACUCGUCGCAGAAAUGGAUAUAUCUAGAACUAAAAUACAUCUAGAUACAUCCAUACCCGCGACAAGUAAUUCGGAACGGAGGGAGUAGAAGUUAAUAGUUUGAGACUUUGGUUAGGUGCGUCUUAACUCCUCAAAACAGAAUCUUUUGAGGAGUUAGCCGUUUUUGAGAGUUUGGCUAGAGAUGCUCUAACAACCUAAAGUUGUCUAAAGCUUCAAAUUAAACCAUUUACUAAAGAAAAAAGGGGUAGGAGCUGCGCGCCUGAGCCAUUCGUCUCAAGAUGUUACUCUCUGUUGUACGGUUGUACAAUUACUCUGAAGUGGUAAGUUGAUGAUAUGGUUUUAGGGGAGAUCAAGCUUUGUGUAGUGUUACUUUGUCUAUAGCUCUUGCAUACAGUGCAAGAAACCCAACGGGAACAAGCUCUUGAGGUUGUUUGAGUUGUUACUCUCUUAGAUCUAUUCCAUUUUAUUGUGUUCCUUGGAGAUGCUUGUGAGUUUUUUCUUUUCUUUUGGCGUUGAGAUGCUUUUGAGUUCAUUAUGAGUUUUCUAGACCAGUAAGUGACAUUUAAAAGAGUUUUCACUCAUAUUUGUUAGUUGGUGUUGCUUACGACUGUUUAUUCCCAUUUCUAGAACAACAUAGCCCUAGUAAGCUCAUAUUUUGAAAGCUCGUUAAUUGGAUUUGAUAAUGAAGCAUACAUGCAGAACAUUCUUCUGUGCAGUAAAGUGCGCUAAAAAAAUAUAUCUUGGAAAAAGAUGUGUACCCUCACAAGGUAAAUUAUAGAGCACUAAAACUUAUUUCCUUUACAUGUUGCCAAAAAUACCCUCAUAAGGCAAAUUAUAGAACACUAAAACUUAUUUCCUUUACACAAUGCCAAAAAUGACUCUCAUGAACACAUUAGACUCAAUUGAUAUGACUAAUCGUUUGUAAACAUCUAUUCUAAACAUCUAGUUGUCCAAGUAUUCUUCGAUGUUCUCUCACACUAAUUGUUACACAUACUUCAUUCAUCAAAAUUCAAAAUAAAAGAUAAUAUGUGGUGAUGUGGUCAGGUACCGAAAAUCAUUGAUGCAAAGUCCUGGCGAACAUCCAAUUCUGGGCCCGGGCUCAUCUGCAUCCGAUGAACAGUAAAAUUAAAAAAACUGGUUUUUUUUCAUAUAAGAUAUUUUGGUGCGUGAGGUAUGUGCCAAAUUUCAAAGCAUUUGAACAUCUGAAUAGCUCUAAAAAAAUCGAGUCCAAACAGUAAACUUUUCCACGGACUCGAAAUUUGUCUUUUUGCUUAGAGCUACUCAGACAUUAAAAUUCUCUGAAAUUUGGCAGGGACAUCACGCUCUCAGUUAUCUUUCUUCACCAAAAAAAAUAAUCAGAUUUUCUAAAAUUUAAUUAGUAUUUAAAGAUUUUUUUGUUCACUCACGAGCUCAUCUUGAGCCUGAGAGCCAAAACGCCUCCCUCAUAGUCCUGGUCACUACUUUAUUUUGGAGAUAGUCCCACAGCCCACUCACCUACCUUUGCGUUGUAUGCCUUACUCCUAGUCUUGUCAUGGAAGAUGUACAAAACAUUGACACCCAUAUAUACCAUACUUCUUCACUCUUCUACUUAGCGAUACAUCCUCACGUGACUCUCUUUCCCACCCAAACACAAUGCUAGAUAUUGCUUGACAUGUUUGUAUCCCGACCACAUAUAGAAAUGAAAGGUGUCGGGAAUUUUUCAACAACAUCGAAUCUUGCUGACACUACCAGAUUAUUUUUCAGCAUUUCUUCUGAUGGGGUUCGAGGUACCACGAUAUGCACAAGCCGUAGCUCCUCGGACUUCACGGAGUUCAAGAAGCUUCAUGGACUGCGUUGCGCUGAAGCAGUUCGGUCCUAGGCUAUCCUAAUGCCAUGAGCAUAGCCGGUGACUAGGUUAAAGACGACCCUUCAGGGACGCGAGUUGAGGAAGUUUGCACAUCGUCCAACCAAUGGCAUUUGUGUAUUCGUUGGUUUGGACGUGUUGUAGUUCAAACUGCAGCGUAAGAAGUAGCUGCCGUUUGGCCAGAAACGCCCACGGUAAAAAAGGAACAAUCCCAGUAACUUUCCCACACACGCGUCAGUCUAUUGUAAAUCACCAGAAGAAGAAAAAAGAAAAAACAACACAAGAAAAAAAAAUGAAAUCCCAAACCCUUGCAGGCAGUCUUAGUUAUUUUGAAAGCUCAUUAUUUGGAUUUGAUAAUUUUUUUUUGAAGAGAGGCAAAAGAUUUGCCUCUCUUCAUUUAAUAAGAGGAAUAGAGUUUAUGGUUAUGUUACAACACAGACAGCGCCGCAACAACACAAGUGUAUGUGACCAACUACUCUCGCGUCAUCAAGUAUCCCAACUUUCUAGCACCCGCAGUUACCCAAAGCAUGGCCUCCUUCUUGAUGUUGGCGAGUAGGACCGUUGGUGGGGCACUCUUGUGAAGGAACACUCGCGUAUUCCUCUCAUUCCAAAUUUGUUGGAAAUGGAGCAAGAACACCUUUUUGGGAUGCGCCAUGGGUGAAUGACCGCAAGCCUAGGGACAUUGCACCUCUAAUUUUCGAAUGGAGGCUACAUGCAGAACACUCUUCCGCGUGGCAAAGCACGCUAAACACCUGCAAUUUUUUAGAGCUUGGAAAAAUUGUGUGUAUCGUCAGAGGGCAAAUUAUAGAGCACUAAACUUAUUUCCUCUACACAUUACAAAAAAUGACUCUCACUCAUGAACACGUUAGACUUGAUUGAUAUGACUAAAUGUUUGUAAACAUUCAUUCCGAACAUCUUGUUUUGCAAGUAUUCUUCGAUGUUCUCUCACACUAAUUGUUACACAUACUUCAUUCAUCAAAUUUCAAAAUAAAAGAUAAUAUGUGGUGAUGUGGUCACGUACCAAAAAUCAUUGAUGCAUAGUCCUGGUCACUUUAUUUUGGGGAUACUCCCAUAGCCCACUCACCAACUUUUGUGUUGUAUACCUUACUCCUGGUCGUGUCAUGGAAGAUGUACAAAACAAUGACACUCAUAUAUACCAUACUUCUUCACUCUUCUACUUAGCGAUCGAUCCUUAUGCGACCCUCCUUCCCAGCCAAACACAAUGCUAGAUAUUCCUUGACAUGUUUGUAUCCUGAUCAAACAUAGAAAUGAAAGGUGUCGGGAAUUUUUCAACAACAUCCAAUCCUGCUAAUGCAACCACAUUAUUUCUCAGCAUUUCUUAUGCUGGGAUUCGAGGUACGAUGAUCUACUGGUGUUGUAGCUGCUCGGACUUUUACAGAGUUCAAGCAUCAUGGACUAUGUAACCUAAUCAACAACUCGUGGCUGUGUCAACGCCUUCACGAGCUGCGAUCUGGUUUACGCCGGCGCCUUCAAGUAAAUAAUUAAAGAUGCGAGUUGAGAAGGUUUGCAUGUUAUCCAACCAGGAUUGGUGGCUCCGAGUGGAUAGCUAAUAGCCAAUGGCAUUCGUGUAUGCAUCGACGUGUUGUAGUUCUAGCUAUCGGGUGUGUGGCUGAGUUCAAGACUCCUGUAGCGUAAAACAUAGCUGUCAUUUGGUCAAUCCGUAACAAACUCUAAAUUUGACUAUUAUCCCUUUUGUUGUCCGACCACUACUGUUGUCGUGCCUAAACUCUGUUCUUCUUUUCUAGUCUCUUGUUUUAUCUAUUUCUUUCCUAAGUGCUACUACUUGCGUCCCACUGCUGCUAUUUGUGUCCAGGUUCAUAUCACCCAGCUUUCUUUCCACGGUGCUUCAUUCAACCAGUGUCUUUUAUUUCAUUUUAAGGAUUGAUUAAACCAGUUGGUUUUGCUUGGGGCCGCACUUGAUACUUAGUCCAGAUUUAGAGAGGGAUAAGCUUACUGAAUUCUUCUGCGAUUUUUUUUGAGGAAUUUCUUGGAUAACUUGAGAAUCACAUGCCUCUGUAUGCGUGGAAUGUGAUAGUAUAUCUUGGACCGGCAAUGUAGUACACAUUUCGUCCUCUCGUCACCAUUCAUAAAUGUCCCAUUGACGACACAGCAGAACGCACACCCAAAGCACAUACUUGUGGUAGCUCCGUAUUCAAAACACACAUGGCACCAUAGCAAUCCUUCUAUUCCAGAAAAGCAAGCGGCACCGAGAAUUUGCCACUUUCCUUUUCUUUUUGAGGACUACUUACAAAUAAAUAAAAUUUUGACUUGAUGUAGGCUGAAGGUGCUGCCCAUCAGUUUAUCCCAACGAUCAUCCACUGUAUUUUGUAUAACAUCCACCUUUGGAAUUUGACUGAACUUGCUGUUUCGUGUAGCAAAAUUCAAGACAUCAUUCUGGUUGCACAGGAAAUUUCAAAACCGCGUGGAAUAAAAUUAGCAACC
Molecule: long non-coding RNA, 5539 nt
Filed under: Triticum aestivum (bread wheat)
Lineage: Eukaryota; Viridiplantae; Streptophyta; Magnoliopsida; Poales; Poaceae
Description: long non-coding RNA (TAES_LNC020321)
Rfam family: MIR1120/MIR1122 microRNA precursor family (bases 1210-1324)
Source: RNAcentral